Molecule: long non-coding RNA, 1553 nt
Filed under: Ananas comosus (pineapple)
Lineage: Eukaryota; Viridiplantae; Streptophyta; Magnoliopsida; Poales; Bromeliaceae
Description: long non-coding RNA (ACOM_LNC026038)
Source: RNAcentral
AAAAUACAGAUUCUCGGAUGCAAAUUUGGAUGCGGAUAUGUAUCGAAUAAUAAAUUUUGUUAUCAUGUUCACUAAUUAAAAGGAAUCGGAUUCAGAUAUGAGCCGAAUUUAUAUUUGGAUACUAUUCAGAUAAUAAUAUCUAGUAAUGAGUUCGCCUUGUGUGCUUUUAGAAGCAUGGGGCCUUCGUGCUAUCAAAUCCUUUUUGAUACUAAAACUUUUGAAUCGACGAUCUACUCUAUUAGACUUAAUUUAGAUAAUCGGAAGUAUCUAGAAAAUAAAUUUUAUGAUUUUUUGAUAUCAUUUAACUAGUGAUCGAAAUGACUCAAAAUUAACGAUUAAAAAUAAAAAUCUCACGAAAAAUAAUAUGACACUAAAAUUUUAGAUAAAAAAUAUUGUUAUUUUAUGUAGUAUAAAGAGUAUUAUAUCAAAAUUUCACGUGCUUUGGAUAUUAUUAUAAUAAAGCUUGCAAACGACUUACCAUGACCAUUAGAAUUGUUGAUUUUGGGCCCUCAAUCUCUAGAAGAAUAAUAUAAAACAAUUAUAAAAUUUAUUUUUUAGAUAUUUUAAAUACUCUAAAUCAAAUUUAAUAAAGUAGAUCGUUGGUUUCGAAAGUCCUAACAUUAACAAUGACUUGAUAACAUGGAGGCCAUUGUACUUCUAAAAGAACGCAAGCCGAGCUCUGUAGUAACAUGCAUAUGUAAAUAUUAACUAGAAUUAGAGUGAAUAAAACACAGUACGAUUAAAGUUUCACACUCGUAUUCAAAUUUUGUAUAAAAUUAAAUCUUUUAAUAAACAUAAAUAAAAUUUAACAUAAAAUUCAUAAUAAAAUAAAUGAAGAAUACAAUAGAACAUCAAUUUGUCUUCCUACUAUAUUUAUUAACAUUUCUUUUAUUCCAUAGGAGUGCAAACUAUCUAAUACCGCCGGAUUUUUUAAGAAACCAUUUUAGCUCCAUUUUUGUAUUAUUUUAGAUGUGAAUUCAGAUAUAAAUAUGUGUUGAAUGCUAAAUUUUGAUAUCUAUAUUCGCAUCCUAUCGAAUUCGGUAUUGGAUUCAACAGGAGUUUAUCCUAACCACAUAUUUUUUCUACUCUUUUGCAUGCAUAUGUGUCAUGCCCCGGGUCCCUUUUUUUGGCUAAAAAGAAUAGCGGAAGUGUCUAAUUUUUUUUGAAACCUUGACCCCAGGGGAUGACAAACCAGCCACAAGUACAGAGAAUCCACUGUUCACGCGAACAGAGUCUCUCCUAUAUUUGCACGGCGUCACACAAGUACAAGUUAUAACCACAAGUGAUUCACCAACCAUGAAUACAUUCACCAAGCAUGAAUACAUUCACCACAUCACAUAAUUACGAAUUACUUUCAUAAAUCCACAUCUAUCAUUCAAAAACGUUUCCCACCUGAAAACUCAUUUUGAAAUACUAAAAUUACAAAAGCAAAAAUCCUUUUAAAAACUGUUUCUCACACAUAAACCUUUGCUUUUAAAAGCAAGCUACCACGAGGGGUAGAAAACCAUUUUUUGCAAAUCUAUAUUAAAACCACAACUUUGUUCAUAGUCAAA